RNAcentral lists this transfer RNA (68 nucleotides) under Pseudomonadota bacterium. RNAcentral describes it as "Proteobacteria bacterium tRNA-OTHER". It matches the Rfam family "tRNA". From Rfam's summary of the family: Transfer RNA (tRNA) molecules are approximately 80 nucleotides in length. Their secondary structure includes four short double-helical elements and three loops (D, anti-codon, and T loops). Further hydrogen bonds mediate the characteristic L-shaped molecular structure. tRNAs have two regions of fundamental functional importance: the anti-codon, which is responsible for specific mRNA codon recognition, and the 3' end, to which the tRNAs corresponding amino acid is attached (by aminoacyl-tRNA synthetases). tRNAs cope with the degeneracy of the genetic code in two manners: having more than one tRNA (with a specific anti-codon) for a particular amino acid; and 'wobble' base-pairing, i.e. permitting non-standard base-pairing at the 3rd anti-codon position. Lineage: Bacteria; Pseudomonadati; Pseudomonadota. The record is from RNAcentral.
CGGGACGUAGCGCAGCCUGGUAGCGCACUUGCAUGCGGCCACGAGUUCAAAUCCCGCCGUCCCGACUA